RNAcentral lists this ribosomal RNA (441 nucleotides) under uncultured bacterium. RNAcentral describes it as "bacterial SSU rRNA". It matches the Rfam family "Bacterial small subunit ribosomal RNA", at positions 958 to 1398 of the family's 1533-position model. The record is from RNAcentral.
AACGCGAAGAACCUUACCUGGGCUCGAACGGCUUAAGACCGGGGUGGAAACACCCUCUCCCCUUAAAAGGCUUGAGUCGAGGUGCUGCAUGGCUGUCGUCAGCUCGUGUCGUGAGAUGUUGGGUUAAGUCCCGCAACGAGCGCAACCCUUGUCCUGUGUUGCCACUCCCGUAAGGGAAGCACUCUCAGGAGACCGCCAGCGAUAAGUUGGAGGAAGGUGGGGAUGAUGUCAAGUCAUCAUGGCCUUUAUGUCCAGGGCUACACACGUGCUACAAUGGACGGUACAAAGCGCUGCAAACCCGCAAGGGGGAGCUAAUCGCAAAAAACCGUUCUCAGUUCGGAUCGCAGGCUGCAACUCGCCUGCGUGAAGCUGGAAUCGCUAGUAAUGGCGUAUCAGAAUGAUGCCGUGAAUACGUUCCCGGGCCUUGUACACACCGGAGUA